GAUGAACGCUAGCGGGAGGCCUAACACAUGCAAGCCGAGCGGUAUUGUUUCUUCGGAAAUGAGAGAGCGGCGUACGGGUGCGUAACACGUGUGCAACCUGCCUUUAUCUGGGGGAUAGCCUUUCGAAAGGAAGAUUAAUACUCCAUAAUAUAUUGAACGGCAUCGUUUAAUAUUGAAAGCUCCGGCGGAUAGAGAUGGGCACGCGCAAGAUUAGCUAGUUGGUGAGGUAACGGCUCACCAAGGCGAUGAUCUUUAGGGGGCCUGAGAGGGUGAUCCCCCACACUGGUACUGAGACACGGACCAGACUCCUACGGGAGGCAGCAGUGAGGAAUAUCGGUCAAUGGGUGCAAGCCUGAACCAGCCAUCCCGCGUGAAGGACGACUGCCCUAUGGGUUGUAAACUUCUUUUGUAUAGGGAUAAACCUACCCUCGAGAGGGUAGCUGAAGGUACUAUACGAAUAAGCACCGGCUAACUCCGUG
RNAcentral lists this ribosomal RNA (479 nucleotides) under uncultured bacterium. Its description in RNAcentral is "partial 16S ribosomal RNA". It matches the Rfam family "Bacterial small subunit ribosomal RNA", at positions 28 to 507 of the family's 1533-position model. The record is from RNAcentral.